GUGUUUGAUUGAAGGAGAGUUGGUUGGCAUCUCCUCUUACAGGGUUGGGAACAGUCUACAGGCUUCCUUGUUUAACAUAUACGGAUAAGGGUUUUAUGUCAAAUACCAGUUUGU
Small nuclear RNA from Cucurbita pepo subsp. pepo (vegetable marrow), 114 nucleotides. The record is from RefSeq and is a predicted model, not a curated record. NCBI's taxonomy places the organism in Eukaryota, Viridiplantae, Streptophyta, Magnoliopsida, Cucurbitales, Cucurbitaceae.